UCAGCAAUACUAGUCUUCAUCACAAUCUCUCUUUCUUUUCCUUUAAUCUCUCUCUCUGAAUUUCUAUGAAUCAUGAAUUGCAUAUGCCUCUCUUAGUUUUCCAGCUCUCACUAUUACAACAACAUUACUUUUCUGCCACUACAUUACCUCAAUGCAUUUACAACUAUAGUAUUUAAAGGCAUUUACUUAACUAACUGUAACCACCUUGUCAUAACUAACUUGACCAAAGGUAGUUAUAACAACUCUUAAACAUAACUAACUUUAUGAUUUGAGGCACACAUUCACACUUAUUUUACAAUUCAGCAACCCUUUUGGCUCUUAAAUCCCCUCUUUGGAGGCGUUUGAUCCCACCAAUCUACUCAUGUGGAAAAUCACUUUUAGUCUCCAUAUCACUUCAAAUAAAUAAAAUAUAAUUUUUAAAGAUGAGAUAGUCUCUUUAUUUAUCAAUUGUUUUAUUUGUCAAAAACCCAAUUUUUCAUUAUAAAAUAUCGUGUAUUUUCAAUAUACCGAACCAUAAGUCUCAUUUAUGAUUUUUUGGAGUUUAAAAUCGAAAAUGAUACUCACUUAGUUGGGUCUUUAUCUUGAAACCCAACGUCAUUUUUCAAAACUUUUUCAAUGGCAUCAUAUAUAUAGAGUAGCUAGAGUCAUGUUAUUAAUGUUCAAAUGAAAAUUAAUAUACAUGUUUAUGUUAUUGUCAGAAAGGCCUAUGUAUUAUUUUGCUCAUAUAUAAUAAAUUGAAUGAUAGGGUUUAUACAAGAUUUGGUUGUAUCAGUUUAUCUUAGUUCUUAUAAGUGAAACUUUAAUUAAAUGAUCAGGAGUAUCCUUUUUAGUAUGAAACAUGGUUCUCCAAUCUAAAUCAUUAUGGAAAAUAUCAUCAUAGUUAGAAAAACGGCAUAAACAUAAAAAUUAAAGAAUACACAAUUUUUUUUUCCUAUUGCACUUAAGCUGCUAUGGGCCAAGAAGUGCAUUUGUUGCCAAUCUAAGAAAAAAACUAUUCCUUACUCCCCACAAUUAUACCUUUACUCUAUAAUUAACCUAAAUUUUAUAUUCAGUUAUUUCUAAUAAAAAUUUGCUCUAAAAUUUUCGAAAAACUCGUGGUUUAAAUUUUCUGGAACAUAUAUAUAUUCUAUAAAAAUUGAACUAAGUUUCAGUUCCAAAAUAUUAUGUUUGUGUUUCGAAAAACUUAACUACUAAAUUUUUUAAAAUAAUAAAUGAAUUUUUUUUUCUGUUCUAAAAUUUUUUCUCUUACCGAUGAUGGGAUGAGAAUGUAAUUAUUCUGGAGAAACUUAAUUGAGGGUAAACAGUUGAGUGAUUAAAUAAGAAAAAGUAAAAGAAAUAAAAUGGAUAUUUUGAUAGAAUGUUUGAAGAAUAUGAGUAUUUGUUUAGGUAGAGUGUAAAAUUUGCCCAAUCUAAAAGAAAAGAUCAAGAGCCCAUACCUCAACUGAGGUGCAAGAGAAAUAAUAUUAAAUCCAAGUAUGAG
RNAcentral lists this long non-coding RNA (1480 nucleotides) under Cicer arietinum (chickpea). RNAcentral's name for it is "long non-coding RNA (CARI_LNC000837)". Lineage: Eukaryota; Viridiplantae; Streptophyta; Magnoliopsida; Fabales; Fabaceae. The record is from RNAcentral.